AGAACGAACGCUGGCGGCGUGUUUAAGACAUGCAAGUCGCACGGAACCAAAUUGGUAGUAAUACUCGUUUGGUUCAGUGGCGCACGGGUGAGUAACACGUGAAUUACAUGCCCUUCAGCGGGGAAUAGCCCAGGGAAACUUGGAUUAAUACCCCAUGGUAUCGCAAGAUUAAAGGUGGCCAGCAAUGGCUGUCGCUGAAGGAUUGGUUCGCGCCCUAUCAGCUUGUUGGUGAGGUAACGCUCGCCAAGGCUACGACGGGUACCUGGUCUGAGAGGACGAUCAGGCACACUGGAACUGAGACACGGUCAGACACCGUACGGGUGCAGCAGUCGAGAUA
Molecule: ribosomal RNA, 337 nt
Filed under: uncultured soil bacterium
Lineage: Bacteria
Description: bacterial SSU rRNA
Rfam family: Bacterial small subunit ribosomal RNA
Source: RNAcentral